GAUGAACGCUGGCGGCGUGCCUAAUACAUGCGAGUCGAGCGAACAGACGAGGAGCUUGCUCCUCUGACGUUAGCGGCGGACGGGUGAGUAACACGUGGAUAACCUACCUAUAAGACUGGGAUAACUUCGGGAAACCGGAGCUAAUACCGGAUAAUAUAUUGAACCGCAUGGUUCAAUAGUGAAAGACGGUUUUGCUGUCACUUAUAGAUGGAUCCGCGCCGCAUUAGCUAGUUGGUAAGGUAACGGCUUACCAAGGCAACGAUGCGUAGCCGACCUGAGAGGGUGAUCGGCCACACUGGAACUGAGACACGGUCCAGACUCCUACGGGAGGACGCAGUAGGGAAUCUUCCGCAAUGGGGGAAAGCGUGACGGAGCAACGCCGCGUGAGUGAUGAAGGUCUUCGGAUCGUAAAACUAUGUUAGUAGGGAAGAACAAAUGUGUAAGUAACUAUGCACGUCUUGACGGUACCUAAUCAGAAAGCCACGGCUAACUACGUG
RNAcentral lists this ribosomal RNA (497 nucleotides) under uncultured bacterium. RNAcentral describes it as "partial 16S ribosomal RNA". It matches the Rfam family "Bacterial small subunit ribosomal RNA", at positions 28 to 507 of the family's 1533-position model. The record is from RNAcentral.